RNAcentral lists this ribosomal RNA (606 nucleotides) under uncultured fungus. RNAcentral describes it as "eukaryotic LSU rRNA". It matches the Rfam family "Eukaryotic large subunit ribosomal RNA", at positions 1 to 624 of the family's 3401-position model. Lineage: Eukaryota; Fungi. The record is from RNAcentral.
UUGACCUCAGAUCAGGUAGGGAUACCGCCUGAACUUAAGCAUAUCAAUAAGGCGAGGAACAGAAACCAACUGGGAUUCCCUCAGUAGUGGCGAACGAAGCGGGAAGAGCUCAAGUUUGAAAUCUGAGGGGCAGCCUUCAGAGUUGUAAGCUGAAGAGGCGUCGACCGACUUGGCCCGAGCCCAAUUCUCUUGGAACAGAGAGUCGUGGAGGGUGAGAACCCCGUCCGUGGCUCGGGAGCCUAGUCCUAGCGUCGUGCCCUCGAAGAGUCGGGUUGUUUGGGAAUGCAGCUCAAAAUGGGUGGUAAAUUUCAUCUAAGGCUAAAUAUUGGCGAGAGACCGAUAGCGAACAAGUAGAGUGAUCGAAGGAUGAAAAGCACUUUGAAAAGAGAGUGAAACAGUACGUGAAAUUGUUGAAAGGGAAGCGUUUGGCAUCAGCCCGUGGCGUCCGUCGAUCAUCUGUGCCUCUGCACGGUGCACUCGGCGGUCGUCGGGCCAACGUCGUCUCCGUCCGCUGGAGAAAGGCCUUGGGAAUGUGGCUCUCUGGAGCGUUAUAGCCCUCGGCGCAAUGCGGCGGAUGGGGUCGAGGUCUGCGGUCAACCGAGGACG